RNAcentral lists this ribosomal RNA (876 nucleotides) under uncultured archaeon. RNAcentral's name for it is "bacterial SSU rRNA". It matches the Rfam family "Archaeal small subunit ribosomal RNA", at positions 22 to 903 of the family's 1478-position model. The record is from RNAcentral.
GGCUACCGCUAUUGGAGUUCGAUUAAGCCAUGCGAGUCGAGAGUCUUAGGGACUCGGCGUACCGCUCAGUAACACGUGGGUAACCUGCCCUAUGCUGGGGAAUAACCUCGGGAAACUGAGAAUAAUGCCCCAUAGUUCACUACGCCUGGAACGGUGAGUGGAUGAAAGCUCCGGCGGCAUAGGAUGGGCCUGCGGCGUAUCAGGUCGUAGGGGGUGUAACGUACCCUCUAGCCAUCGACGCGUACGGGUGUUGGGAGACAUAGCCCGGAGAUGGAUUCUGAGACACGAAUCCAGACCCUACGGGGUGCAGCAGGCGCGAAAACUUGGCAAUGCGAGAAAUCGUGACCAGGGAACUCCAAGUGGCUGGGGUAAGACCCAGUCUUUUCUUGACUCUUCAAAGGUCUUGGAAUAAGAGGUGGGUAAGGACGGUGCCAGCCGCCGCGGUAAUACCGGCGCCUCAAGUGGUAGUCGAUUUUAUUGGGCCUAAAACGUCCGUAGCCUGUUUGGUACAUUCGUGGGUAAAUCAACCAGCUCAACUGGUUGAAUUCUGCGAGCACGGCCAGACUUGGGACCGGGAGAGGUGUGGGGUACGCUCAGGGUAGGGGUAAAAUCCUGUCAUCCUGAGCGGACCACCUGUUGCGAAGGCGCCACACUAGAACGGAUCCGACGGUCAGGGACGAAGCCUAGGGGCACGAACCGGAUUAGAUACCCGGGUAGUCCUAGGUGUAAACGCUGUGGACUUGGUGUUGGGGAUUCUCCGAGGAUUCUCAGUGCCGAAGCGAAGGUGAUAAGUCCACUGCCUGGGGAGUACGGUCGCAAGGCUGAAACUUAAAGGAAUUGGCGGGGGAGCACCGCAACCUGAGGAUUGUGCGGUUU